This 497-nucleotide ribosomal RNA is filed under the name uncultured bacterium. RNAcentral describes it as "partial 16S ribosomal RNA". It matches the Rfam family "Bacterial small subunit ribosomal RNA", at positions 28 to 507 of the family's 1533-position model. The record is from RNAcentral.
GAUGAACGCUGGCGGCGUGCCUAAUACAUGCAAGUCGAGCGAACAGACGAGGAGCUUGCUCCUCUGACGUUAGCGGCGGACGGGUGAGUAACACGUGGAUAACCUACCUAUAAGACUGGGAUAACUUCGGGAAACCGGAGCUAAUACCGGAUAAUAUAUUCAACCGCAUGGUUCAAUAGUGAAAGACGGUUUUGCUGUCACUUAUAGAUGGAUCCGCGCCGCAUUAGCUAGUUGGUAAGGUAACGGCCUACCAAGGCAACGAUGCGUAGCCGACCUGAGAGGGUGAUCGGCCACACUGGAACUGAGACACGGUCCAGACUCCUACGGGAGGCAGCAGUAGGGAAUCUUCCGCAAUGGGCGAAAGCCUGACGGAGCAACGCCGCGUGAGUGAUGAAGGUCUUCGGAUCGUAAAACUCUGUUAUUAGGGAAGAACAAAUGUGUAAGUAACUAUGCACGUCUUGACGGUACCUAAUCAGAAAGCCACGGCUAACUACGUG